This 926-nucleotide ribosomal RNA is filed under the name uncultured Bacteroidota bacterium. RNAcentral describes it as "bacterial SSU rRNA". It matches the Rfam family "Bacterial small subunit ribosomal RNA", at positions 1 to 917 of the family's 1533-position model. Lineage: Bacteria; Pseudomonadati; Bacteroidota. The record is from RNAcentral.
UGGAUCCAGACUUUGAUUCUGGCUCAGGAUGAACGCUAGCUACAGGCUUAACACAUGCAAGUCGAGGGGAAACGACAUCGAAAGCUUGCUUUUGAUGGGCGUCGACCGGCGCACGGGUGAGUAACGCGUAUCCAACCUGCCCACCACUUGGGGAUAACCUUGCGAAAGUAAGACUAAUACCCAAUGACGUCUCUAGAAGACAUCUGAAAGAGAUUAAAGAUUUAUCGGUGAUGGAUGGGGAUGCGUCUGAUUAGCUUGUUGGCGGGGUAACGGCCCACCAAGGCUACGAUCAGUAGGGGUUCUGAGAGGAAGGUCCCCCACAUUGGAACUGAGACUCGGUCCAAACUCCUACGGGAGGCAGCAGUGAGGAAUAUUGGUCAAUGGACGAGAGUCUGAACCAGCCAAGUAGCGUGCAGGAUGACGGCCCUAUGGGUUGUAAACUGCUUUUAUAAGGGAAUAAAGUGAGUCUCGUGAGGCUUUUUGCAUGUACCUUAUGAAUAAGGACCGGCUAAUUCCGUGCCAGCAGCCGCGGUAAUACGGAAGGUCCGGGCGUUAUCCGGAUUUAUUGGGUUUAAAGGGAGCGUAGGCCGGAGAUUAAGCGUGUUGUGAAAUGUAGACGCUCAACGUCUGCACUGCAGCGCGAACUGGUUUCCUUGAGUACGCACAAAGUGGGCGGAAUUCGUGGUGUAGCGGUGAAAUGCUUAGAUAUCACGAAGAACUCCGAUUGCGAAGGCAGCUCACUGGAGCGCAACUGACGCUGAAGCUCGAAAGUGCGGGUAUCGAACAGGAUUAGAUACCCUGGUAGUCCGCACGGUAAACGAUGGAUGCCCGCUGUUGGUCUGAAUAGGUCAGCGGCCAAGCGAAAGCAUUAAGCAUCCCACCUGGGGAGUACGUCGGCAACGGUGCAACUCAAAUGAAUUGACGGA